RNAcentral lists this ribosomal RNA (253 nucleotides) under uncultured bacterium. RNAcentral's name for it is "partial 16S ribosomal RNA". It matches the Rfam family "Bacterial small subunit ribosomal RNA", at positions 524 to 776 of the family's 1533-position model. The record is from RNAcentral.
UACGUAGGGGGCAAGCGUUGUCCGGAUUUAUUGGGCGUAAAGAGCGUGUAGGCGGCCAGAUAGGUCAGCUGUGAAAACUCGAGGCUCAACCUCGAGAUGUCGGCUGAAACCAUCUGGCUAGAGUCCGGAAGAGGAGAAUGGAAUUCCCGGUGUAGCGGUGAAAUGCGCAGAUAUCAGGAGGAACACCGGUGGCGAAGGCGGGUCUCUGGGCCGAUACUGACGCUGAGGAGCGAAAGCGUGGGGAGCAAACAGG